CGAGGGAAGGGGCCACGAAGAGGCUGGUUCCGCUCCUCUCAUGUCAAACUGCUCCCUCCCACAAGCAGCAAGACUACCCCUGCACCUGUCCCAGGUCAUCGCCAGGUACAACUUCACAGCAGCCAAUUAGGACUUGAUGAGCUUCUCCAAUUGUCAGCUGAUCAACGUUAUGGACAGUGACAACCCUGAUUGGUGGAUUGGAGAGGUCAACGGGGUCACAGGGCUGUUGCCAACCAAUUACGUCACCAUGACCACUGAGUCCGACCCCAGGCAGUAAUGAAGGUAACGCUGGCACCUUGUCCUCUCCCUCCUCUUACUUCUUCUUCUCUGAGCCAAUCCUGGAAGCCUCACCUUUCAUCUGCCAGCGAGACCCUCCUCUUCGUCCUCCUCAUCUUCCUCCUCCUCUUCCUACACCCUGCUUGUAUCUCCUUUAGAAUGCUUUUUGUUCGUCUAUCCUCACUCUUUAUUUCUCUCUCUCUCCUCUAUCAUAACUAGUUCUCUCUCCUCUAUCAUAACUAGUUCUCUCUCCUCUAUCAUAACUAGUUAUCUCUCCUCUAUCAUAACUAGUUAUCUCUCCUCUAUCAUAACUAGUUCUCUCCUCUAUCAUAACUAGUUGUCUCUCUCUAUCAUUACGAGUUCUCUCUCUCGCUCAUAACUAGUUCUCUCUCUCUAUCAUAACUUGUUCUCUCUCUCUCUAUCAUAACUAGUUAUCUCUCUCUCUAUCAUAACUAGUUCUCUCUCUCUCUAUCAUAACUAGUUAUCUCUCCUCUAUCAUAACUAGUUCUCUCUCCUCUAUCGUAACUAGUUGUCUCUCCUCUAUCAUAACUAGUUGUCUCUCUCUCUAUCAUUACGAGUUCUCUCUCUCCUAUUUCUCUGCUCUCUCUACCUGACUGUUCUUAUCUUCUCUACCAUAACUAGUUCUCUCCUAUUUCUCUGCUCUCUCUUCCUUGGCUGUUCUUAUCUUCUCUACCUAGGGAGAGCGGUUAGAUACAUGACCUAUGUUAACUAUUAUCUCCUGUUCCUCUGAAAUGAUGUCAAAAUCAUGGUUUGAAUUGAUUUAGACUAGAAUAUAAAGAUGUGUUAGAAGAAAUCUCUGAGAAUGUGCUACUCUAGUAUUUUGAUGUUGUAUACAACAAUGGACAUAAUAUGUACUAAAUAAAAAUAAUUUUGUUUUGUAA
Oncorhynchus masou masou (cherry salmon) is the source of this 1178-nucleotide long non-coding RNA. RefSeq lists it as uncharacterized. The record is from RefSeq and is a predicted model, not a curated record. Lineage: Eukaryota; Metazoa; Chordata; Actinopteri; Salmoniformes; Salmonidae. The transcript is spliced from 3 exons.